GGGCGGUUGAGGGCGUGUCGGGUAAAAGUAUUAGGUGGUUUGCCCGGAUUUAGUUUUUUGCCUGGGUGUAAAGGUGAAAUUUAGUAAUUUAGGGUAAGAGAUUGGUUGAGUUGGGCGGUCGCUUCAACUUUUAGGACAGAGGUGUCGAACGGGAUUAGAUACCCCGGUAUUCUUUAGUGGUAAUUUGUUUUCCCUGGGUAGUAAACAGUUAUAUUCUCGGAACCUAAAGAAUUUGGCGGUAACCAAGUCCAGUCAGAGGAACCUGUGCCGUAAUCGAUAAUCCACGAAAAUCUUACGCGAUCUUGGUUAAUCAGUUUGUAUACCGCCAUUAUCAGAUAAUUUUACUAGAAGUUUGUCUCUAUAAGGGUGGGGCUUAAAAUAUUAGGUCAAGGUGCAGCUUAUGGUGGCGGGAGAAACAUGGGUUACAGUGGCAGUUAGUUUAUAAACGGAUGGACACUUUGGAACGGGGUCUUGAAGGCGGAUUUGAUUGUAGGGGGCUCAUAUGAAGUGUCGUCGGUAGGGUUCUUGGUUAUGUACACAUCGCCCGUCGUUCUCGCUUU
This 560-nucleotide ribosomal RNA is filed under the name Nennalpheus gabonensis. Its description in RNAcentral is "partial small subunit ribosomal RNA". It matches the Rfam family "Microsporidia small subunit ribosomal RNA", at positions 492 to 1211 of the family's 1311-position model. Lineage: Eukaryota; Metazoa; Arthropoda; Malacostraca; Decapoda; Alpheidae. The record is from RNAcentral.